Non-coding RNA from Camellia sinensis, 505 nucleotides. The record is from RefSeq and is a predicted model, not a curated record. Lineage: Eukaryota; Viridiplantae; Streptophyta; Magnoliopsida; Ericales; Theaceae.
UAAAAAUUUUUUCUGCAAUUUUUUCUUCAGAUGAAUAAGAUUGGUUCUUUGCUCAAGUAACCAGGAAAAUAGGUGAUAAUACAUACAAAGGAACUACGUGGCAAAUCAAAUUCACACUUGAGAAUGUAGAUCAAAGUGAAAUUAUUGGUACCUACAAAUUAAGACUCGCACUCGCAUCUGUACAUAACUCUGAAUUGCAGCUCCUCAUCUAGGAAAAUUUCUCUUCCUCCACACACGAUCUUAAAAUCACGGACAUGUGAUACUACACAGAUAUGAAAUUUCUAAAAAUAUAGGAUACAUCAUGUGGGAAUACGCAAAAUAUAUAAUUUUCAGUCACGAAUUCAGUUUUUGGAAUCUCAAUUGCAAGCUGCAGGCGUGCCCGUUGAUCCAGUUGUUGCACCCUCAAACCCAUUACAUAGGCAACAGGUUGAGGAUUCACUUAGUAGUCAUCCCACUGUUCGGUCAAUGUCACAUCAACAACAAUCUCAUGCAUUUUCAUCCCAAG